Molecule: transfer RNA, 76 nt
Filed under: Alkaliphilus sp. B6464
Lineage: Bacteria; Bacillati; Bacillota; Clostridia; Peptostreptococcales; Natronincolaceae
Description: tRNA-Thr
Rfam family: tRNA
About the family: Transfer RNA (tRNA) molecules are approximately 80 nucleotides in length. Their secondary structure includes four short double-helical elements and three loops (D, anti-codon, and T loops). Further hydrogen bonds mediate the characteristic L-shaped molecular structure. tRNAs have two regions of fundamental functional importance: the anti-codon, which is responsible for specific mRNA codon recognition, and the 3' end, to which the tRNAs corresponding amino acid is attached (by aminoacyl-tRNA synthetases). tRNAs cope with the degeneracy of the genetic code in two manners: having more than one tRNA (with a specific anti-codon) for a particular amino acid; and 'wobble' base-pairing, i.e. permitting non-standard base-pairing at the 3rd anti-codon position.
Source: RNAcentral
GCCGAAGUAGCACAAUUGGCAGUGCAUCCGAUUUGUAAUCGGAAGGUUGUGGGUUCAAAUCCCACUUUCGGCUCCA